GAGCGCCGCGACAGCUGUUUCCGCUGUUCAAGGAGAGCCGCUCAAACGCUGGUUUAGGGAAGGCAGAGUGAUGCUAGGAAAGUUCAUUCUUGCCAUGAUCCUUACCUCUUUUUUUUUCUUCUUCUUGCAUGUGUUUUCUUUUUCACUUUGUUAAAGAUCCCUGCUGGUAGAGACUCUAUGCUGAUAACGUGUAAGAAUUCAGAGGAAAAGUUCCCUUUCAUCUAUAGUUACAGAAGGUUCCAAGCUCUAUUGGUGCCACUGAGCUCUUGAAAUGUCAGCUGGUCGUCGCCUCUUUUAGUGGUAAUCAUCAGCUGUCUGCGCAUUUUCCUUGCAUUAUACAGUUGUUUCAUGUGAUGUUCAGGUACUGCUCGUGUCGAGCUGAUGGGAAGCGCAUGUAUGUUACUUGGCUCGAAUUGUGUUUGGCAUAGUCAUGUGCUAGGGACUACUCGGUGCCUUUUUCAGUAAGGAAAAUAGUUAGUUUUAUAUUGUGAGUUUAUAUUCUUUUUUUAGGAAAAUGGUGGCAUCAUAUUUAAGGUCAAGAUAUUUUUGUUCCAAGUUACUAUUGUAUAUACCUUUCCUAUUUGGCAUACGUAUAUAUCAUAUAUCUUGAUGCCAGUAUAGUUGCAUGCUGUAACAUCCACCGAAAGGAAUUGGUAUCAGAAACAUUGAAGAUGUUAGCAGUAGGUCCUUUCUAUUGUUUGGAACCUCAUUUUUUGCAAUGAGAUUGUUUUGGGUGCUCAUCUUUGUUGUUUUCUUGCAGGUCAUUGUUUGCUGUCGUCAUGCUACAUGUGCUCCUAUUCGUCUAUGGUUACUUGAGAUAUGAUAUGGUACCCUUAUGACCACUUUGCAGCUUCUGUAGCUUCACAAUUUCAGACAAAUUAAGUUAAGCGCAUCAUGUUUUAAGAGGAAAUUCCUGCUCAUGCAACAUCCAGGUAAGUCUGCAUUUAGUGGGCCUUUACAUGGUUUGGUUAUCCUAUAAGUGACUUGAUGUUCAAGGUUUAUCACUUAAAUUGAUAAGUUUAAAAUGGUUAAACUGGAAAGGAAAACUAGAGCACGUGCUUCUCAUGUUUGACAGUGUAUACUUAUUCUGCCUACUAAUUUUAGUCAUCAAUGGUUACAAAUCUCAUGGCAUAUAGAUUUAUCUGAGGUGACUUAUCCAAAUGAAUACCAUAUCUAUUGACUUUUGACUAUAUUGGUUUACACAUAAUGCUCUUCCAGCUAGUGAACCUCAAAAUUUGGAGAAAAAAGGCCAGCUUUAACAUUGUUGGUACUUUGUGUUAUGAGAUUCUUUGUGUGACCAACUCUUUUGUCACAGCUUCAUUUGUUGCAGGGUGUAAGAUGUAAUACCUUUGCGCUACAGAUUUUUCGCUGGUCCAAGUACUGACGUGCUUUUAUCUGCCAUCAGAUAUUCAGAUUGUGUCAUGAGUUAUGUGUGUGGAAUCCUUUAUUCCCGCAGCACAUAAGGUCGGUGUUGUCAAAUUCGUCGCGUUGCUGAGAAGCAACAUUUACAUACCUGAUGCAAGUGGCAACUCUGCUAUUGUUACUUUAUGGCGAGAACAUGCAGAAACCUUUGAUGUGGUUGCUCUUCGUUAAGCCUCCUAUGAGGACAACAUUAUUAUACUGUGUUUGCAGGCAUUAGUGUUGCCCUAGUUGUCAGGACUGUCUGUUUUGAUUACUGCCUGUUGGUAUUGUCACAAAGUUCAUGAACGCAGUUUGAUGGUGCUAACAUUCUAUCAGGACAUGUCCAUAUCCAUAUGUUGGUCUUAAGGUUGCAAGAUGAAGAAGAUCGAGUACAAUGAAGAAGACGGAUGAAGACGGUGUCGGAGAGAGACGAAGACGGUGUAUAAGAUGAAGAGAG
This is a long non-coding RNA of Lolium rigidum, 1858 nucleotides long. RefSeq lists it as uncharacterized. The transcript has 5 exons. NCBI's taxonomy places the organism in Eukaryota, Viridiplantae, Streptophyta, Magnoliopsida, Poales, Poaceae. The record is from RefSeq and is a predicted model, not a curated record.